This 331-nucleotide unclassified non-coding RNA is filed under the name soil metagenome. Its description in RNAcentral is "partial contains 5.8S ribosomal RNA, internal transcribed spacer 2, and large subunit ribosomal RNA". The stretch from base 1 to 120 matches the Rfam family "5.8S ribosomal RNA", at positions 35 to 154 of the family's 154-position model. The record is from RNAcentral.
GAUGAAGAACGUAGUGAAAUGCGAUAAGUAAUGUGAAUUGCAGAAUUCAGUGAAUCAUCGAAUCUUUGAACGCACAUUGCGCCCCCUGGUAUUCCGGGGGGCAUGCCUGUUCGAGCGUCAUUUUACCACUCAAGCCUCGCUUGGUAUUGGGCAACGCGGUCCGCCGCGUGCCUCAAAUCGACCGGCUGGGUCUUCUGUCCCCUAAGCGUUGUGGAAACUAUUCGCUAAAGGGUGUUCGGGAGGCUACGCCGUAAAACAACCCCAUUUCUAAGGUUGACCUCGGAUCAGGUAGGGAUACCCGCUGAACUUAAGCAUAUCAAUAAGCGGAGGA